This 489-nucleotide long non-coding RNA is filed under the name Setaria viridis. Its description in RNAcentral is "long non-coding RNA (SVIR_LNC004974)". Lineage: Eukaryota; Viridiplantae; Streptophyta; Magnoliopsida; Poales; Poaceae. The record is from RNAcentral.
UGACUCUCCAAGAAAAUUGGAAUGACUUGUAAUUUAGAACGGAGGGAGUAGUAGACUCGAAAUACAUGACUUAUAAUUUGGAACGGAAGGAGUAGUAGACUCGAGAUACAUAAGUAGGACAUAUGUAUGCAUGAUUUUAAUUAUUCUCCGUCUCCACAGAAACAGAGCGAACAUAUAAAAAAUGUAUAUGUGUACCAAUCGAAUUAAGUAUUAAGCACAUAUGGAACAUAAAAUUUACCAUAAUGCACAAAUAAAGUUCCCACUUAAAUUCUGAACUGACGGAUAUUGCAUCCUGUUGUUUAAAAAAUGGAUGAGGGUUGCUAUUUUCUACACAGCCUGUCUACUUCUGAUUUAAAAUGCAGAAGUAUCGUAGACUUGGGCAACCCUAUUCUCACAGCUUUAUCCGGAAAAAAAAAACCAUUCGCAACUAGCCAUUUGUGGUAUAUGUGACUGAGAUAAUGUAGCUAUGGUUUGUAACCAUACAUAGAG